This is an RNA transcript of Arachis ipaensis, 3346 nucleotides long. It is a transcript of the gene named Pentatricopeptide repeat (PPR) superfamily protein, with no coding region annotated. Lineage: Eukaryota; Viridiplantae; Streptophyta; Magnoliopsida; Fabales; Fabaceae. The record is from RefSeq and is a predicted model, not a curated record.
AGCGUCUCGCCGCGCCUCCGCCGGUGAGUGCUCGAGGCCUCGAGCUGUGUUUCCUAGUUCCUGCUGCGUGUCGUCGUCGUCCGCCAUCACUGCACCCAACCCAACGCCUCGUUUGCUCGCGUCUCGCCUCUGUCCUCCGUCUCUGCUCGCCUCAGCUGCUCGCUUCUCGCCGCGCCUCCCUCCGCCAGUGAGUGCUCGAGCUGUGCGUGGUUGUUGCUUCUCGUCGUCCGUGGGUGUUGCUGCCUGCACUGCACUGCUUGUCUGCCUGCACUGCUCGAUUCUGCCGCUGCAACAACAGUCAACAUGAACUCAUUUGCAUCAUUUUAGGAAACAAUCAAAUCAAAUAUACCACAUCUGGCGCCGGGGUUGUUAGCUGCAUGAGUUGCCAUGGACAUAUUGUCCGACAUGGCCAACACCUCCUCAAGCUUGUUGAAUCGUGUUCCAUCACUUGCACCCUUGAUGCAACUAAAUGCCUCCAUGCACUCUCUAUCACUAUGGGUCCCAUUCCAAACCAAUCCAUCUUCGUCCACAAUAAUGUCAUUUCUCAUUACUUAUCCCUUGGCGAGUUUCUUCAUGCACGUCGAGUGUUUGAUAUAUUGCCCCAAAGAACGGUAGUUUCUUACAACAUGCUCAUCCAUGCUUAUAGUCGCCGUGGUGAUGUGAGUGAUGCUUGGAGCCUGCUCUGCCACAUGAGGGGUUCUGACUUUUCUCCAACACAAUAUACUUUGAGUGGGUUACUAUCUUGUGAAUUGUUGAGCAUUUGUCAGGGUAUGCAGUUGCAGGCUUUGAGCAUCAAGAGUGGACUUUUUGAUGCUGAUGCUUUUGUGAGUACUGCUUUGUUGGGUUUGUUUGGGAGGCAUGGAUGUUUGGAUGAAGCUUUUAUUGCAUUUGAAGAUAUGGUCCAUAAGAGCCUGGUGACUUGGAAUAUAAUGCUAUUGAUUCUGGCACGUAAUGGAUUUGUGGGAGACUGCCAGAAUUUGUUUCGUGAUCUUGUGAGGACAGGGGUUGCUUUGUCAGAAGGUUCCUUUGUGGCUGUUUUGUCUGGACUUGUUGAUCCUGAGCAGGAUUUGGAAUAUAGUGCAAUGAUUCAUGGUUUGAUGACGAAAUGUGGGUUUGAUGGUGACAUUGCUUUGGUUAAUUGUCUGAUUAACGUGUAUGUGAAAUGCAAAGCCAUGUUCUCGGCACAAAGAUUGUUUCAAGAAGUUCCGGCUGAAAAUGUUGUGUCUUGGAAUACGAUUAUUGACGCAUUGGUGAAAAGUGGGAGACCUCAAGUGGCAUUGGAGAUGUUUGUGAAUAUGUCUAGAAGGGGAUUGAUGCCUAGUCAGGCCACAUUUGUAGCUGUUAUAGACAUGUGUGCUAGUUUGAAGAACUUUGUUUGUGGAGAAUCUAUCCAUGCUAAGGUAAUCAGGAAUGGUUUCGAAUCUGAUGUUGUUGUAGGUACUGCAUUGGUAGACUUUUAUGCUAAAUGUGAUAACAUGAUGUGUUCCCAUAAAUGUUUUAAUCAAAUAGAAGAGAAGAAUAUUGUGUCUUGGAAUGCUUUGAUGGUGGGUUACUCGAAUGAAUGCUCUUCCAUGCCGAUUAUGUUACUACGACAAAUGCUACAAUUAGGUCACUUAGUUAAUGAGUUUUCCUUUUCUGCUUCUCUUAAGUCAUCAUCAGUAUUGAACACGCGUCAGCUCCAUGGUUUGCUUAUAAAAAUGGGGUAUGAAAGUCAUGAAUAUGUAUUAAGCUCCCUUGUUAUGGCUUACAGUAGAAACGGUCUCAUAAUCGAAGCACUUUCUUUUGUCAAGGAAGUCAGUAAUUCACUUCCUCUAGUCCCCUCAAACAUCAUUGCCGGGAUCUAUAACAGGACUUGCCAAUACUAUGAAACGGUAAAGUUCCUUUCUUUGCUCGAAAGCCCUGAUACUGUAUCCUGGAACCUUGUCAUUUCAGCUUGUGCUCGGAGCAAUAAUUAUAAUGAGGUUUUGGAACUUUUCAACCAUAUGCAUGUUGCACACAUACAACCGGAUAAUUACACAUUUAUGAGUAUAUUAUGCGUGUGCACCAAGCUUUGUCGUCUUGAUCUGGGAAGUUCUCUUCAUGGACUUAUUAUGAAGACUAACCUCUAUAACUGGGACACUUAUAUCUGCAAUGCACUAAUUGACAUGUAUGGAAAGUGUGGAAACAUUGAUAGUUCGGUAAAAGUUUUUGAAGAAAUGACUGACAAAAAUAUUAUUACAUGGACGGCUUUAAUUACUGCCUUCGGGCUGAAUGGUUAUCCACAUGAAGCGCUAAAGAGAUUCAAAAAUAUGGAAUCAUUCAGGUUGAAGCCGGAUGCAUUAGCUCUGAGAGCAGUGCUCUCUGCUUGCAGAUAUGGUGGAUUGGUAAGCGAGGCGAUGGAAAUUUUCAAACAGAUGGGAACUGCUUAUGGGAUUCAGCCAGAACUAGAUCAUUACCAUUGUAUAGUAGACCUCCUGGCUAAACGUGGAGAAAUUGAAGAAGCUGAGAAAAUCAUCACUAGCAUGCCUUUUCCACCAAAUGCGAAUAUUUGGCGUAGCUUCCUUGAAGGCUCCAAGAGGCAAACAGUAAAAUCUAAUUGUAUUUUGGAAGCAAUGCACUGAAGAUGUUUCACAAUGUGGUUUUCCAAGCACUGGUAUAUUUCCUGAUAGACCAAUUAUUAACGAAUUUCCAUGAGAUUUAAUCCAAAUGCAAGGUAGGGACUUCUUUCAUGGGACAAUUGAAAUGUCCUUGUGUCUGAAAUCUCCAUCAUAGCUAGGUAAAACCUUCUCAUUCAACCAAUUUUCAUGCAUAGAAGUAUUCCUCAUAUCUGACUUUAUAUUGCAGCUUGCAAUACCAGGAUAUUAAUUAAUGAGAUCCUUAAGAACCUUUGUUUCAAUGUGAAAUCAACUCAGCCCUCAGAUUAUAAGGGGAAAAAAGUGUCGUUAUAUGUAAAAUUUGAAUACUCCAUAUCUCUUAUGUUAAUUAAUGUGCAUUGAGAGAAGCAAGAAAUACACUCAACCAGAACAUCAUACUCACUCUUUGUUUCUUGUAUUGUGCAAUCAUCUAGUUUAUGGGGAAGCAGAAUUUUUUGGUAUUGUUACUACUAGUAAAUACAGGUAAAAUAAUGGUCUGAGAUUAAUCUGGUGCUGCAUUCAUCAAUGAUCUCCACAUAAUCUUGUGCCUACACUCUAUUAAUCUCACGGUUAAUAUUUUUAAUUUAGAUAUAUACAUUUUUUUUGUAUACAUAGUGCAAAAUAACUUUAUACUAUUUUAUUUGUAUGAAUUUUAGAGUAGUUGAUGAUGUGAAUGAAAUAUGCUGAUAUAACAAUACAAAAUUGGAUGUUUGUAUAGAAGUAUUUUUAUAUCA